RNAcentral lists this long non-coding RNA (3803 nucleotides) under Salmo salar (Atlantic salmon). RNAcentral describes it as "lncRNA (ENSSSAG00000109020.1)". Lineage: Eukaryota; Metazoa; Chordata; Actinopteri; Salmoniformes; Salmonidae. The record is from RNAcentral.
CAGCUCUGUCCUUUAGCAGCUCUGUCCUUUAGCAGCUCUGUCCUUUAGCAGCUCUGCCCUGUUCUAGACUGUCCUUUAGCAGCUCUGCCCUGUUCUAGACUGUCCUUUAGCAGCUCUGUCCUUUAGCAGCUCUGUCCUUUAGCAGCUCUGCCCUGUUCUAGACUGCCCUUUAGCAGCUCUGCCCUUUAGCAGCUCUGUCCUUUAGCAGCUCUGCCCUGUUCUAGACUGUCCUUUAGCAGCUCUGCCCUGUUCUAGACUGUCCUUUAGCAGCUCUGCCCUGUUCUAGACUGUCCUUUAGCAGCAUGCCUUCCAGUUUUUCCACCAGGUGUUCAUCAGUGCCACCAGUCCCUCAACCUCAGUGACAGCAGCUUAUAAACCACUCACUCCCCUUGGUGUCAAAUGUGAAAUAUUUGCUGCUGUGAAUCACUGGUGGCCAUUUAAAUCAAGGAAGGUGGGCUCAUAGUAAUGGCUGGAAUGGUACAAAUGGAACAGUAUUAAACAUGGUUGGAUUCCAGCCAUAAUUAUGAGCUCUCCUUCCCUCACCAACCUCCACUGGAUGUGAAUAAAACCGGUAUGUGUUAUUGGGCGGUGCGCUCGGCUGGGACUAAGAAGAAAAACCUGAAUACACACCCAUCCUGUCUGGCAUCUACCUCUGAGAGGUGUUACCUCAGUUUCACUCUGUGUCAAGAGACACUUCAGGAAGGACGAUUAUCCACGCACACCAAGAGCUGCUCUAGGAAUAAGACUAUUUAGAAAACAACAAACUAUAGUUUACUUUAAGAGAAAGUUAGAAGUAUUUAUUUUUUUAAUAUAAAGGAGUGGGAGUCGAACUUGUUGACACGGUGAAAGGUAAACGUUGAAAUAACAAUACUAUACAAUUCUCUUUAAUUUUAGCUGGUUAGUUUUUGCUUUAAUUAACAAUGUCACUGUGCCUCAGCCUUGUACAGUUCUGCACCGCAGUCUUCAACACAGACCCAUUGUUCAUAACACUAGAGUUUAAUUAUAUGAAGUGCCUUGGUCCUCCAUUGUUUUUUACUAUUUAACCCUUUUACUAAAGGGCACCUUCCCUCUACAAAGAUCUGCUGUAUCCUUAGCAACACUUCCUUCCUCUUCUACUAAGUUCUCUCAACACCUAUGUUCAAGGCUACAAAAUAUGUGGUAAAAGGUACUUUACAGCUGUGGUUUUAAACAGCACAGGCAGCCAAUCGGGAUGUUUACCCCAUUUAUUUAAAGUAGAAAGUGGCUUCAGCUCGUAAUUCUAAAAACUGUGCCCUAGAUUUAGAUAUAAACAGGUUUUUGAUGAAAGGAUGACUGUGUAGCUAGAUCUAGCAGCAAAUCAGAACUGCUAAUCAUAUUACAAUGAACUUAUAUCUACCAUGGUAAGUGACUCCAUCAUAGUGUGCUGAAUAAGGGUUAGUAUAGGGUUCAAUUCCAGUGAGGUGAAUUCUGUUGAUUGUGGUGCUGAGUAUGUGGGUGUCUUUGGUGUGAUUUAGUCCAUGUCUUCAGGUAGAGGGUUCCUCUGUGAUGUUACUAGACGUGGUUUAGUCCAUGUCUUCAGGUAGCAGGUCCGUCUGUGAUGUUACUAGACGUGGUUUAGUCCAUGUCUUCAGGUAGCGGGUCCCUCUGAUGUCACUAGACGUGGUUUAGUCCAUGUCUUCAGUUAGAGGGUCCCUCUGAUGUCACUAGACAUGUCAGGGAUCACAAUAAUACAGCUUUGUUAUUCACAGGAUGUAACACCUUUUGUGGAUAAGACAAUGACUAUUGAUUUACUGAUGUAUUGAUUAACAAAUGAAUUGUUCCCUUCUCUCUCUCGGCAGUGACCAGGCAGCUGAGACGUUGGCUCAUCACUAUAUUGAUUUGCAGAUUGCUUUGAUAACAAAUUUAUGGACACUUUUUCCCUGUUUUCAGCAGUCGCCAGACAGACAUGGGCUGCUGCUUCAGCGGGUCUGAGGGGGACGGAGAGGGGGACAUGAAGCACGGGGGGGACAGCGGCUGUAAGACGUGCUGUCUGAAGACCAGGAACUGCGUGAUGAGUGGAGAGUGUGGACGGGCUCUUCAGAUUGCCAACGUCUGUGCCAUGUGUGGAAUGUGCAUCCGCAUGUUUGUCUAGCUGCGACUCCAUGAGGUCAGACCUGCUCUCAUUCCCAUGGUAGCUGUACAGAGAGCUGUGAACAAUAGGACCGGUAUGCCACUCUCCCAUGGGUGGAUCACCUGGGAUCCAGCCAUGUUACAAAAGACACACACCCUGGACCCGCCCUGUGCCUUAGUGCCAAUAGAAUCAGCACCCUGGACCCGCCCUGUGCCUUAGUGCCAAUAGAAUCAGCCCCCUGGACCCGCCCUGUGCCUUAGUGCCAAUAGAAUCAGCCCCCUGGACCCGCCCUGUGCCUUAGUGCCAAUAGAAUCAGCCCCCUGGACCCACCCUGUGCCUUAGCGCCAAUGGAAUCAGCACCCUGGAGCCAAGCAGGAAGGAAUGUGAAGCGUAUCCUGUAAUUGAUGUCCUUGUGCAAUAGUACUUGUCUUCCUCUUCUGUUGUAAAACAUCUUGGAACAGUGUGCCCUAAUGAACAUGACUCUGUCCUGCUGCUGUUUAUGCAGAGCUCCAGCUGGAGAGGGAACAGGCAGUAGACUAGGCCCAACAGGCAGUAUGUAUGCACAAACACAAACACAUUGUUCAAGCCACCAAGUGGCCUUUUGAGUACUGGAAGAUCACGCAGGGAGUAGGUGGAAACAUAUUCAUACCGGCGAAGAGACUGUACCACCAGGAACACUCGGCUGUGAGGGGAAAUUAUGUUUGUUGUGGAGAGAGGAGGGGGACCGAUACGGGGGCAGAGAGAGAGAGGGAUGAGAGCGGAGCUAGAGACAACAAUCUUUUUCAUGCCAAAUUCUCAAUAAAACGAUGCUUACAGGAAGACACCAGAAUGUACCAGAUAUAAAAUCUGAUAAUCCUUAUUGUAACAAAGUGGUUUGGAUGGAAAAGUGCUCAUAGACUGUGUCCCAGAUGGCACCCUAUUCCCUUCAUAGUGCACUACUGAUAAGAGGAGGAAACUACUAGAUGAACUGAGCAUGCUGAAACAAACCUUUGUGACAAACCAGUCACAGUGGUAGGAUGUCCAUGUCCUCAGAAAAUCAUUCCAUCUCUCUGAGUGUCCCAGAUGGCACUUGAUUCCCUUCAUAGUGCACUACUUCUGACCAGGGGGUGUAGGGUGAAUAGGGUGCUAGGCAGGUUGUGAGGAUCUCUCGUUCUCCUUAAGUAUCUAAAAACCAAGUGUGUUGAUACAGAAUUGUGCCUUUCAGACUGGACUACAGUACCAUGUUGACCUAUUCUUCACUGCUGAGGUGAACCUUCCCUCUUCCAAACUUUCUUUUAUCUGUAGAAAGUAUUUUUCAUCAAUGCUCUUAUGCUCCUUGACAGUCCAAUAUGUAAGAAAAGAGAUGUGCUUUUUUUAUGAUUCAUUUGUUUUUUGUAGGGUGUUUUUAUAUAGUCUUUUGGGGGUGAAUUGUCUUCAUGAUGUCUAUUGGGAUGAUCAUUUAUUGUGCUCAGAAAAUAAUUUCUAUACUGUAGGUGUCGUAGCUAGGGAAGAAACUAUCGGUAUGGUUCAGGCUGUGUCCCCAAUGGCACCCUAUUCCCUAUGCAGUGCACUACUUUAGACUAGAGCCCUAUGCAUCCUGGCCUAAAGUUGUACACUAUAUAGAUAGUCGGAUGCAAUUUGGGACGCAGUACUUUGUUGUAGUGAUGACUACACACCAUUUCUAUGUUCACAUUGUGUAAUGUAUUACUUAAUAAAGAACUACCAAGUGUACCGC